This 201-nucleotide ribosomal RNA is filed under the name uncultured archaeon. RNAcentral describes it as "partial 16S ribosomal RNA". It matches the Rfam family "Archaeal small subunit ribosomal RNA", at positions 525 to 725 of the family's 1478-position model. The record is from RNAcentral.
CUGGCCGGGCAAGUCCAUCGGGAAAUCCACCCGCUCAACGGGUGGACGGCCGGUGGAAACUGCCCGGCUCGGGACCGGAAGACCCAACGGGUACGUCCAGGGUAGGAGUGAAAUCCCGUAAUCCUGGACGGACCGCCGAUGGCGAAAGCACGUUGGGAAGACGGAUCCGACAGUGAGGGACGAAAGCUAGGGUCUCGAACC